UACGUAGGGGGCAAGCGUUGUCCGGAUUCAUUGGGCGUAAAGAGCUCGUAGGCGGCUUGGCAAGUCGGGUGUGAAAACUUCAGGCUCAACCUGGAGCGGCCACUCGAUACUGCCAUGGCUUGAGUCCGGUAGGGGACCACGGAAUUCCUGGUGUAGCGGUGAAAUGCGCAGAUAUCAGGAAGAACACCCGUGGCGAAGGCGGCUCUCUGGGACGGUACUGACGCUGAGACGCGAAAGCGUGGGGAGCGAACAGG
This 254-nucleotide ribosomal RNA is filed under the name uncultured bacterium. RNAcentral describes it as "partial 16S ribosomal RNA". It matches the Rfam family "Bacterial small subunit ribosomal RNA", at positions 524 to 776 of the family's 1533-position model. The record is from RNAcentral.